GGGUGCCGGAUCGACUACCGCUGUUGCAAAACAGUGAGGAAAGUCCUGACACCGUACCUCAAGUGAGGGGCUGCUCAUUAACGUGAGAGGGGGAAACCCUAUGGCAACGUACGGACAGAAACGAACCAUCCACCCCUAAGGGAAUGAUGCUUGGCAACCGUCGGCGACGAUGGCUUGAGAGCUGACGUCGGAGUGGACGCGGAUGAAACGAACGACCCGGUCGGUGCAAGGCCAGUAUGGCUGCUUAGUUGAAUGUCGAUGCUCGUGGCCCGCGGUCCGUCCGCGGCACGGGAACAGAACCAGGCUUACAGGCACCC
This 317-nucleotide RNase P RNA is filed under the name Candidatus Woesearchaeota archaeon. Its description in RNAcentral is "RNase P RNA component". It matches the Rfam family "Archaeal RNase P". Rfam says of the family: Ribonuclease P (RNase P) is a ubiquitous endoribonuclease, found in archaea, bacteria and eukarya as well as chloroplasts and mitochondria. Its best characterised activity is the generation of mature 5'-ends of tRNAs by cleaving the 5'-leader elements of precursor-tRNAs. Lineage: Archaea; Nanobdellati; Candidatus Woesearchaeota. The record is from RNAcentral.